UUCCGUCUUGCACCCUCGCCUUCUCCUCCCCCCUCCCUCCGUCUUUGUCCCUUUCCUCUCUCUCCCUCAAUUUCCCCGUCUCCCUCUCCACUCGCCCUUUUUUUUCUGUCGCUCUCCCUCUCCCCCCCAUCUCUCGAUCUCUCUCCUUUUUUCUCCUUCUCUCUCCUUCCCUCCCUCCCAGGUCUCUCUCCUCCCCCCCCUUCCCUUUUUCUCCUUCCCUCUCUCCCUCCCCUCGCAGCAGCUCGGAGCCAGGUCUGGAGCUGGGGGUGGGGUGGGGGUGGUUCGAGAAGGGGCCCACGGCUGGGGUAGCGACCUGCUGAGGAGGGGGAGGAGAGGCGGGAAGGGGGCGGAGGAGGCGCGCGCGGGGGGGCCAGAGACGGGUCUACGGUCCCAGCUCUCAUCCGCCUUCCCUCCUUCCCAACCUCCCAGACCCUCAGGCGGGGGCGAGAGUCAGGCCAAGGUGGGGAGGAAGGGGAAGGGAGGAGGCUGCCCCCGCCCCCCCAACAACCUGGCCCAGAGCCCAGGCUGGGUUCCCAGCAUGCCCCGGGGCUGCCUGGGGCCUGAGGAGGGGGGUGAGAGGAGAGGGGAAGCGGAGAAUCUUAAAGAUUUGCAGGACCUGAGCAUCUCCCCAGUCGGCCAGCAAAUUUCUCUUCGGGGAAACUGAGGCCCAGGGAGAAGGGUCAGGACUUGUUCAAGGUCACUGGACAAGGCCUUGGGUGGAGACACCCAUAGGCCCAUAGGCCCGAUUUGGGGACAAGGUUGGCGCUGGACUUCCCCCAGGUCUGGGGCCCCCUCCCCCUCACUGCAGACCCUGGGGAGCCCCCAAGGGUCAGAGAGCAGACCCAAACAGUCUGGCACCAUGGCAACCAGCUGGCCCCGCCCCCUUAACCCCCAGAGGGUUAGACUCCAGCU
This 912-nucleotide long non-coding RNA is filed under the name Sus scrofa (pig). RNAcentral describes it as "lncRNA (ENSSSCG00015067768.1)". The record is from RNAcentral. Lineage: Eukaryota; Metazoa; Chordata; Mammalia; Artiodactyla; Suidae.